Molecule: ribosomal RNA, 439 nt
Filed under: Atractus elaps
Lineage: Eukaryota; Metazoa; Chordata; Lepidosauria; Squamata; Dipsadidae
Description: partial large subunit ribosomal RNA
Rfam family: Bacterial large subunit ribosomal RNA
Source: RNAcentral
AACCGUGCAAAGGUAGCGUAAUCAUUUGUCUAUUAAUUGUAGACCAGUAUGAAAGGCACAAUGAGGAUCUCUCUGUCUCUUAUAAUAAAUCAAUUAAACUGAUCUCCUAGUAAAAAAGCUAGAAUAUACACACAAGACCAGAAGACCCUGUGAAGCUUUAACUAACCUAUUAAACCCUAUAAUACCUACUUUCGGUUGGGGCGACCUUGGAAAAAACAGAACUUCCAAACAUAUGACCAUAACUCAUACCUCGGCCUACAAGCCUAACUUAGACCCAGUAUAGCUGACAAUUGAACCAAGUUACUCCAGGGAUAACAGCGCCAUCUUCUUUAAGAGUCCAUAUCAAAAAGAAGGUUUACGACCUCGAUGUUGGAUCAGGACAUCCUAAUGGUGCAGCCGCUAUUAAAGGUUCGUUUGUUCAACGAUUAACAGUCCUACG